GACGAACGCUGGCGGCGUGCUUAACACAUGCAAGUCGAACGGAAAGGCCCUGCUUUUGUGGGGUGCUCGAGUGGCGAACGGGUGAGUAACACGUGAUUAACCUGCCCUUGACUUUGGGAUAACUUCAGGAAACUGGGGCUAAUACCGGAUAGGAGCUCCGGCUGCAUGGUGGGGGUUGGAAAGUUUCGGCGGUUGGGGAUGGACUCGCGGCUUAUCAGCUUGUUGGUGGGGUAGUGGCUUACCAAGGCUUUGACGGGUAGCCGGCCUGAGAGGGUGACCGGCCACAUUGGGACUGAGAUACGGCCCAGACUCCUACGGGAGGCAGCAGUGGGGAAUAUUGCACAAUGGGCGGAAGCCUGAUGCAGCAACGCCGCGUGCGGGAUGACGGCCUUCGGGUUGUAAACCGCUUUCGCCUGUGACGAAGCGUGAGUGACGGUAAUGGGUAAAGAAGCACCGGCUAACUACGUG
RNAcentral lists this ribosomal RNA (468 nucleotides) under uncultured bacterium. RNAcentral describes it as "partial 16S ribosomal RNA". It matches the Rfam family "Bacterial small subunit ribosomal RNA", at positions 28 to 507 of the family's 1533-position model. The record is from RNAcentral.